Molecule: unclassified non-coding RNA, 390 nt
Filed under: soil metagenome
Description: partial contains 5.8S ribosomal RNA, internal transcribed spacer 2, and large subunit ribosomal RNA
Rfam family: 5.8S ribosomal RNA (bases 1-122)
Source: RNAcentral
GAUGAAGAACGUAGCGAAAUGCGAUACUUGGUGUGAAUUGCAGAAUCCCGUGAACCAUCGAGUCUUUGAACGCAAGUUGCGCCCGAAGCCACUAGGCCGAGGGCACGCCUGCCUGGGCGUCACACGUCGUUGCCCCCCCAUCUACUCCUUCGGGAUUGCGGGGGGGCGGAUGAUGGCCUCCCGUGCGCCUAGCCGCGCGGUUGGCAUAAAUACCAAGUCCUCGGCGACGCACGCCACGACAAUCGGUGGUUGCGAAACCUCGGUUGCCCGUCGUGUGCGUUCGUCGCGCAUCGAGGGCUCGAAAAAAUGCUCGGCUUCGGCUCGGCUUUCAACGCGACCCCAGGUCAGGCGGGGUUACCCGCUGAAUUUAAGCAUAUCAAUAGCGGAGGA